RNAcentral lists this ribosomal RNA (467 nucleotides) under uncultured bacterium. Its description in RNAcentral is "partial 16S ribosomal RNA". It matches the Rfam family "Bacterial small subunit ribosomal RNA", at positions 29 to 507 of the family's 1533-position model. The record is from RNAcentral.
ACGAACGCUGGCGGCGUGCUUAACACAUGCAAGUCGAACGGAAAGGCCCUGCUUUUGUGGGGUGCUCGAGUGGCGAACGGGGGAGUAACACGUGAGUAACCUGCCCUUGACUUUGGGAUAACUUCAGGAAACUGGGGCUAAUACCGGAUAGGAGCUCCUGCUGCAUGGUGGGGGUUGGAAAGUUUCGGCGGUUGGGGAUGGACUCGCGGCUUAUCAGCUUGUUGGUGGGGUAGUGGCUUACCAAGGCUUUGACGGGUAGCCGGCCUGAGAGGGCGACCGGCCACAUUGGGACUGAGAUACGGCCCAGACUCCUACGGGAGGCAGCAGUGGGGAAUAUUGCACAAUGGGCGGAAGCCUGAUGCAGCAACGCCGCGUGCGGGAUGACGGCCUUCGGGUUGUAAACCGCUUUCGCCUGUGACGAAGCGUGAGUGACGGUAAUGGGUAAAGAAGCACCGGCUAACUACGUG